GCCAAAUAAUGAGGUCAAACACACCCUUAAUGCCUUUACUAAACUCUUAUCUUUUCGACGACCAAAGAAAACCAUAGGUCACUCUUCUCAAGAUAUCAGAUCUUCAAACUCGACGAGUUGAAGGAGAGAUCCACCUGAAGCACAUCUGCGUUCGUCCUUCUCAACCAUUGCUUUCCCGCCGAAGGCUGCCUUCUUUCUCUUGAGCUGUCGUUUGCCAAUCAAAGGAGAGAUUCAUCUCAAGCACCUAAAGCUUCACUCAGUGCUUUCAUCCUCCUACACCGUAUUUUUACGAUCAAAAACCAAUUAUAUCAGGCAAGUUUUGCUGUAAAUUUAUCAUGUUCGUUUUGUAAUUUUAUAUUUUGAGCUUUUCGACCUUGUCAUUGUUGUGAUUUAGGUUUUUUCGUAAAACUGAGAUUUGAUUCUAGGAUUUGUAUUCCAUGAAUUAAUUUAUUGAGGUAGUUAUAUUUAACAACGAAAAAAGUUGUUUGUAUUGUCAUUAGUUCGAAAUAGUGCCUGUUAAAUUUCAAUCAAAUCUGGAAUGCUGUUUGUAUUUAUUAGUCACCAAAUAUAGUUCUAAAUUUCCAAUUUCAUGUCCUUUCGGGUUUUAAUUCUGAAUAUCCUCCUUGACCUUGUUUAGUAUUAAACUUAUGAAAAUUAGUGUAUUGCGCCUUUUUCCUCUCAAGUUUAUAUUUAGUAGUAUUUCCAUUUUUUCCCUUUACUUUGCAAAGUUCUAAGUUUUACUAAUCUUAUGAGUCAUAAUAGAUUGUUCAUUUUUAAAUUGUUCAAAAUUUGUGUAAAAUCAUCUCAUGAUGACUCCAUGGGCUGAGGGAAUAUGAGAAAUGUACAGAUUACUAUAACUAUACUUAACUAUGGCAAAACCGUAAAAGGCUAAUUUUUUGGAGGAUGCUGGUUGCUUUGAAGGAGAGCUUCAUUUUCAUAACAUUCAGUUCUCCCCUUUAAAGUGGACAAGGAAAAUCUGGUUAUUGUCAGAAACACACAUAUGGAGGAUGAGCUUCUAGAUUUUGAAUAUUUGUGGAGGAGUGUCUCCAUAUAGAAAUUUAUUCUAUGGGUUACUUUUAAUUAGAAUCCUGGAUAUUCCAAUAGAGAGGCUCGAGUAUCAUACUCUUUCACUUAAAAAAUAUGCUUGCUUAGUAAGGUUUUGAAUUGAUACGACCAAAUUUAUCGCCUCAAUAACAUGUGAUUAAAUAUUGUUUACGUUGGUCAAACUACUCUCCAUCAUUGAAGCACUUCUCUCUGUGUUAUUUACAACAACAACCUUAAAAGUGCUCUUUUAAUCGAUCGGGUAUCUUGGAUGAAUUAAAAGGGAACUUGACAGUAGGAUAUUUGUGCCCUCUCUUCUUGUAGAAAUAAAUCAGAAAUGCAAAGCUUACAAUAGGGCUGCAAUAAUAGCUAAUUUAGUGUUGGAGCUUUCUUUUUCUUUAAUCCAUUUGUAAUAUAGUGCUUGGAUUAGAUGUGCCAAUCGAGGAUUUUGAAUCUUCAAAUGACAUGGCACUUCCUUGUGAAUGAGCUUUUCCAGUCUAAUUUGAAUUUAAUAGAAAACUUUCAUCUAAGACAAACUUUAGACUGCUGCUACAAUUUGGAAGAUGAGGGAAAAAAUUGUCACCACUAAAGUUCAAGUAAAAAAUUCAUAUCCGUAACAACUCAGGUCUCUGUACCCAAGUCGUUAAUUUACGUAGUGUCCGCUUUGGGUGGG
This 1714-nucleotide long non-coding RNA is filed under the name Olea europaea subsp. europaea. Lineage: Eukaryota; Viridiplantae; Streptophyta; Magnoliopsida; Lamiales; Oleaceae. The record is from RNAcentral.